Molecule: ribosomal RNA, 594 nt
Filed under: Hanseniaspora opuntiae
Lineage: Eukaryota; Fungi; Ascomycota; Saccharomycetes; Saccharomycodales; Saccharomycodaceae
Description: partial large subunit ribosomal RNA
Rfam family: Eukaryotic large subunit ribosomal RNA
Source: RNAcentral
GGAGGAAAAGAAACCAACUGGGAUUACCUUAGUAACGGCGAGUGAAGCGGUAAAAGCUCAAAUUUGAAAUCUGGUACUUUCAGUGCCCGAGUUGUAAUUUGUAGAAUUUGUCUUUGAUUAGGUCCUUGUCUAUGUUCCUUGGAACAGGACGUCAUAGAGGGUGAGAAUCCCGUUUGGCGAGGAUACCUUUUCUCUGUAAGACUUUUUCGAAGAGUCGAGUUGUUUGGGAAUGCAGCUCAAAGUGGGUGGUAAAUUCCAUCUAAAGCUAAAUAUUGGCGAGAGACCGAUAGCGAACAAGUACAGUGAUGGAAAGAUGAAAAGAACUUUGAAAAGAGAGUGAAAAAGUACGUGAAAUUGUUGAAAGGGAAGGGCAUUUGAUCAGACAUGGUGUUUUUUGCAUGCACUCGCCUCUCGUGGGCUUGGGCCUCUCAAAAAUUUCACUGGGCCAACAUCAAUUCUGGCAGUAGGAUAAAUCAUUAAGAAUGUAGCUACCUCGGUAGUGUUAUAGCUUAUUGGAAUACUGCUAGCUGGGAUUGAGGACUGCGCUUCGGCAAGGAUGUUGGCAUAAUGGUUAAAUGCCGCCCGUCUAAAACC